Molecule: ribosomal RNA, 409 nt
Filed under: uncultured bacterium
Lineage: Bacteria
Description: bacterial SSU rRNA
Rfam family: Bacterial small subunit ribosomal RNA
Source: RNAcentral
UGGGGAAUAUUGGGCAAUGGGCGCAAGCCUGACCCAGCGACGCCGCGUGCGGGAUGAAGGCCUUCGGGUUGUAAACCGCUUUCAGCGGGGACGAAGCGAAAGUGACGGUACCCGCAGAAGAAGCCCCGGCUAACUACGUGCCAGCAGCCGCGGUAAGACGUAGGGGGCGAGCGUUGUCCGGAUUUAUUGGGCGUAAAGCGCACGCAGGCGGCCGUGCAAGUCGGAUGUGAAAACACGAGGCUCAACCUCGUGCCUGCAUUCGAUACUGCUCGGCUCGAGGCAGGUAGGGGAGAUCGGAAUUCCCGGUGUAGCGGUGAAAUGCGCAGAUAUCGGGAGGAACACCGGUGGCGAAGGCGGAUCUCUGGGCCUGUUCUGACGCUCAUGUGCGAAAGCUGGGGGAGCGAACAGG